This 465-nucleotide ribosomal RNA is filed under the name Vreelandella stevensii. RNAcentral describes it as "partial 16S ribosomal RNA". It matches the Rfam family "Bacterial small subunit ribosomal RNA", at positions 338 to 795 of the family's 1533-position model. The record is from RNAcentral. Lineage: Bacteria; Pseudomonadati; Pseudomonadota; Gammaproteobacteria; Oceanospirillales; Halomonadaceae.
CCUACGGGUGGCAGCAGUGGGGAAUAUUGGACAAUGGGCGAAAGCCUGAUCCAGCCAUGCCGCGUGUGUGAAGAAGGCCUUCGGGUUGUAAAGCACUUUCAGUGGGGAAGAAAGCCUUGGGGCUAAUACCCUCGAGGAAGGACAUCACCCACAGAAGAAGCACCGGCUAACUCCGUGCCAGCAGCCGCGGUAAUACGGAGGGUGCGAGCGUUAAUCGGAAUUACUGGGCGUAAAGCGCGCGUAGGCGGUCUGAUAAGCCGGUUGUUAAAGCCCCGGGCUCAACCUGGGAACGGCAUCCGGAACUGUCAGGCUAGAGUGCAGGAGAGGAAGGUAGAAUUCCCGGUGUAGCGGUGAAAUGCGUAGAGAUCGGGAGGAAUACCAGUGGCGAAGGCGGCCUUCUGGACUGACACUGACGCUGAGGUGCGAAAGCGUGGGUAGCAAACAGGAUUAGAUACCCUAGUAGUC